RNAcentral lists this ribosomal RNA (482 nucleotides) under uncultured bacterium. RNAcentral describes it as "partial 16S ribosomal RNA". It matches the Rfam family "Bacterial small subunit ribosomal RNA", at positions 30 to 507 of the family's 1533-position model. The record is from RNAcentral.
AUUGAACGCUGGCGGCAUGCUUUACACAUGCAAGUCGAACGGUAACAGGCCGCAAGGUGCUGACGAGUGGCGAACGGGUGAGUAAUGCAUCGGAACGUGCCCAGUCGUGGGGGAUAACUACUCGAAAGAGUAGCUAAUACCGCAUACGAUCUAUGGAUGAAAGCGGGGGACCGUAAGGCCUCGCGCGAUUGGAGCGGCCGAUGUCAGAUUAGGAAGUUGGUGGGGUAAAGGCUCACCAAGCCAACGAUCUGUAGCUGGUCUGAGAGGACGACCAGCCACACUGGGACUGAGACACGGCCCAGACUCCUACGGGAGGCAGCAGUGGGGAAUUUUGGACAAUGGGCGCAAGCCUGAUCCAGCAAUGCCGCGUGCAGGAAGAAGGCCUUCGGGUUGUAAACUGCUUUUGUACGGAACGAAACGGCUCUGGUUAAUACCCGGGGCUAAUGACGGUACCGUAAGAAUAAGCACCGGCUAACUACGUG